Scomber japonicus (chub mackerel) is the source of this 204-nucleotide long non-coding RNA. RefSeq lists it as uncharacterized. NCBI's taxonomy places the organism in Eukaryota, Metazoa, Chordata, Actinopteri, Scombriformes, Scombridae. The record is from RefSeq and is a predicted model, not a curated record. The transcript has 3 exons.
AGAUAUCCUCAUCAUGAUGAAGCUGAUUCUGUCUCUCACUCUCAUCUGGACUCUCUCCAGCACAGCUGAAGCUCUUCAGUGUUGGGAGGGUUUAGUUGGAACACCAGAGUUACGUCCAUGUGCCUCUACUACUGAGUGGUGUGCCACUGUUGCCUCACAAGGAUAUGUGAAUGGGAAUCUCCAUCAGGCCACCGGCAGGUCCUG